RNAcentral lists this ribosomal RNA (697 nucleotides) under uncultured bacterium. RNAcentral's name for it is "bacterial SSU rRNA". It matches the Rfam family "Bacterial small subunit ribosomal RNA", at positions 14 to 757 of the family's 1533-position model. The record is from RNAcentral.
UGAUCAUGGCUCAGAACGAACGCUGGCGGCAUGCCUAACACAUGCAAGUCGAACGAGACCUUCGGGUCUAGUGGCGCACGGGUGCGUAACGCGUGGGAAUCUGCCCUUUGCUUCGGAAUAACAGUUAGAAAUGACUGCUAAUACCGGAUGAUGUCUUCGGACCAACGAUUUAUCGGCAAAGGAUGAGCCCGCGUAGGAUUAGGUAGUUGGUGGGGUAAAGGCCUACCAAGCCGACGAUCCUUAGCUGGUCUGAGAGGAUGAUCAGCCACACUGGGACUGAGACACGGCCCAGACUCCUACGGGAGGCAGCAGUGGGGAAUAUUGGACAAUGGGCGAAAGCCUGAUCCAGCAAUGCCGCGUGAGUGAUGAAGGCCUUCGGGUCGUAAAGCUCUUUUACCAGGGAUGAUAAUGACAGUACCUGGAGAAUAAGCUCCGGCUAACUCCGUACCAGCAGCCGCGGUAAUACGGAGGGAGCUAGCGUUGUUCGGAAUUACUGGGCGUAAAGAGUACGUAGGCGGCUAUUCAAGUCAGAGGUGAAAGCCCGGGGCUCAACCCCGGAACUGCCUUUGAAACUAGGUAGCUAGAAUCUUGGAGAGGUCAGUGGAAUUCCGAGUGUAGAGGUGAAAUUCGUAGAUAUUCGGAAGAACACCAGUGGCGAAGGCGACUGACUGGACAAGUAUUGACGCUGAGGUACGAA